This 310-nucleotide long non-coding RNA is filed under the name Salvia miltiorrhiza (redroot sage). RNAcentral describes it as "long non-coding RNA (SMIL_LNC003080)". Lineage: Eukaryota; Viridiplantae; Streptophyta; Magnoliopsida; Lamiales; Lamiaceae. The record is from RNAcentral.
UCUGGGUCUCUUUGUUUCUGCGGUGGGCUCGCCGGUGUUUCACUGUUCCGGCGUUAAGCGCGGUGGCAGUCGGCCAAGGAGCCGGUGUCUCACUGUUCCGACGUUCAGUGCGGUGGCAGCCGGCCAAGGCCAAGAAGAGAGUGUUUUAAUUUUUAUUUUUAAAGGCAUUUAGUUAAACAAGUUAAUCAAUGUAUAAAUAACAUUAAAUAAUACACUAAACACAUGGGGUCAUCUACUUUUACAUCUACUUUAACUCUCCUAAAUACCCGUGCCCAAAAGAAAGGGGACUUGAAUAUUGGGACGGAGGGAG